GAGGUGAUCCAGCCACACUGGAACUGAGACACGGUCCAGACUCCUACGGGAGGCAGCAGUGGGGAAUAUUGCACAAUGGGCGCAAGCCUGAUGCAGCCAUGCCGCGUGUAUGAAGAAGGCCUUCGGGUUGUAAAGUACUUUCAGCGGGGAGGAAGGCGAUGCGGUUAAUAACCGCGUCGAUGAC
This 184-nucleotide ribosomal RNA is filed under the name uncultured Corynebacterium sp. Its description in RNAcentral is "partial 16S ribosomal RNA". It matches the Rfam family "Bacterial small subunit ribosomal RNA", at positions 296 to 473 of the family's 1533-position model. The record is from RNAcentral. Lineage: Bacteria; Bacillati; Actinomycetota; Actinomycetes; Mycobacteriales; Corynebacteriaceae.